GUUUGAUCCUGGCUCAGGAUGAACGCUGGCUGUGUGCCUAAUACAUGCAUGUCGAACGAAGUACUUGUACUUAGUGGCAAAUGGGUGAGUAACACGUACCUAACUUGCCUUUUAGAUUGGGACAACCACGGGAAACUGUGGCUAAUACCAAAUAUGUAUAAUUAACAUAUGUUUUUUAUAUGAAAGGAAGCGAUUGCUUUGCUAAAAGAUAGGGGUGCGCUACAUUAGCUUGUUGGUAGGGUAAAAGCCUACCAAGGCUAUGAUGUAUAGUGGGAUCGAGAGGUUGAACCACCACACUGGGAUUGAGAUACGGCCCAGACUCCUACGGGAGGCAGCAGUAGGGAAUAUUCCACAAUGAGCGAAAGCUUGAUGGAGCGACACAGCGUGUAGGAUGAAUGCCUUAGGGUUGUAAACUACUGUUAUAAGAGAAGAAUAGCUAAAAAAGGAAAUGUUUUUAGUCUGACGGUAUCUUAUCAGAAAGCAGUUGCAAACUAUGUGCCAGCAGCAGCGGUAAUACAUAGACUGCAAGCGUUAUCCGGAAUUAUUGGGCGUAAAGCAUUCGUAGGUUGUUUAUUAAGUUUGGUGUUAAAAACAAAAGCUCAACUUUUGUUUGCAUUAAAUACUAAUAGACUAGAGUUAUAAGGAGGUUAAUGGAACUCCAUAUGAAGCGGUGGAAUGCGUAGAUAUGUGGAAGAACACCAAUGGCGAAGGCAAUUAACUGGAUAUACACUGACACUGAGGGAUGAAAGCGUGGGGAGCAAACAGGAUUAGAUACCCUGGUAGUCCACGCUGUAAACGAUGUUUGUUAAUCGGUGGUGAAAUCACUGAUACAGCUAACGCAAUAAACAAACCGCCUGAGUAGUAUGCUCGCAAGAGUGAAACUUAAAGGAAUUGACGGGGAGCCGCACAAGCGGUGGAGCAUGUGGUUUAAUUCGAAGAUACGCGAAGCACCUUACCAACAUUUGACAUCUUUUGCAAAGGCAUAGAGAUAUGCUGGAGGAUAACAAAAAGACAGGUGGUGCAUGGCCGUCGUCAGCUCGUGCCGUGAGGUGUUGGGUUAAGUCCUAUAACGAGCGCAACCCUUUUCUUUAGUUACUAACAUUUAGUUGAGCACUCUAAAGAUACUGCCUAGGUAACUAGGAGGAAGGAGGGGAUGAGGUAGGUCAUCAUGCCUCUUACAUGUUGGGUUACACACGUGCUACAAUGGCAAAUACAAAGAGAAGCAAAAUCGUGAGGUGGAGCAAAUCUGUAAAAUUUGUCUCAGUUCGGAUUGGAGUCUGCAACUCGACUCCAUGAAGUAGGAAUCGCUAGUAAUCCUAGAUCAUCAAUGCUAGGGUGAAUACGUUCUCGGUUCUUGUACACACCGCCCGUCAAACCAUGGGAGUUGGUAAUACCCAAAGCUAGUUAGUUAACCAUUUAUUUGGAGGUAACUAUCUAAGGUAGGAUCAAUGACUGGGGUUAAGUCGUAACAAGGUAACC
Molecule: ribosomal RNA, 1479 nt
Filed under: uncultured Mycoplasma sp.
Lineage: Bacteria; Bacillati; Mycoplasmatota; Mollicutes; Mycoplasmatales; Mycoplasmataceae
Description: bacterial SSU rRNA
Rfam family: Bacterial small subunit ribosomal RNA
Source: RNAcentral